RNAcentral lists this ribosomal RNA (257 nucleotides) under uncultured bacterium. RNAcentral describes it as "partial small subunit ribosomal RNA". It matches the Rfam family "Bacterial small subunit ribosomal RNA", at positions 26 to 285 of the family's 1533-position model. The record is from RNAcentral.
AGGACGAACGCUGGCGGCGUGCUUAACACAUGCAAGUCGAGCGGUGAUCCUCCUUCGGGAGGUGAUCAGCGGCGAACGGGUGAGUAACACGUGGGCAACCUGCCCCUCACACUGGGAUAACCUCGGGAAACCGGGGCUAAUACCGGAUACGACCUCGAGCGGCAUCUCUUGAGGUGGAAAGCUCCGACGGUGAGGGAUGGGCCCGCGGCCUAUCAGCUUGUUGGUGGGUAAUGGCCUACCGAAGGCGACGACGGGUA